CACACAGCUCAUAUCAGAUUAUCACCGGCGCCGAUCGAACGCUAAAUAGACAGCUACAGUCCAGACAAGCUUUGAUUGAAAUACGAUAACGAGAUCGAGAUUGGAAAAGGAGCUCGAGGUCACGGACGAUGGCCGACUCGGACUCAGCUAGUGCUAAGCCUAAGGACAAGGCUAAGGCUACGCUAAAUCGGAAUAAGACUAAGUAAGACGGUAAGAGGAAGGAGAGAAACAAGCAAUGGCAGCUCGACCAUCCGGCCCAGAGGAGGCGCGGGAGUGGCUGUGAACAAGGCCAGGGUACGGCGGAGAAACUUCGCGAGCUGCAGGCGGCCUUCUCGUUGCCGAGUCUAGAGGAUGCAAUAGACAUGCCAGCUCACUGAGAGAUAUGAAGAACAGACAACACAAUCCAUCCCCAGCGAAGAAAUUCCAAGCAGCAGUAGGGGAAUUAGCAGGUGAAUAGUACAAGUCACCUUUGACCGCAAAUUCAUGGAGAACUUGGCCUACUCUGCUGAUUUGCUCGCUUCAGCUACCCAGCAAACCGGGCAAGGAAUUUGCUUGCGGUCAUCGACUACAUGGCACACAAGGACAGGCCCGACCAGAUUGAUGAACAAGGCAAUACAAAAUAUGUUGCAGUAUGGUCAAAGCGUGCCAACAACUACGUGGCCCGGAAGGAGAAGGUCCCCAAGACCUACCCCUACAUGUAUGUACAAGGACUCAUCGGUGCGAUACUGGAACGCAGAGAACAGGACCAAGGACCACUGUUCUCGAAGGCUGUUCUGCUCCCUGAUGACCCUAGACACACAAGGCCCCGGCUUGCACCAUUUCCUCCACCACAAGUUGAUGUGAUCCUAGCCAGGAGACUAGGCCGAUUAGAGAAAUCCAUGUAAUCCUCUGUAGUGAACAUUUGGGAUUGUCUGACUUGAGAACUGCUUUUUUUCGAGCAGAGACUAAGGGAUCCAAAUGGCAUCCUUCCGUCCAUCCUCCGUGACUGUACACAAAUUUGAAUGAAGUCUAAUGUGAAAUCUUACCUGCAAAAAUCAAUUAGGGUUGCUAACUUUCCAACCCUGCAUCUGUUUGUAACCAUACUUGAUUGGUAGAUGCCCUUUAUUGGCCUCCAUGAUAUUCUGGAGUUGAAGGUCACAUAAGUAGGUCAAAGGUCAAAUGAGGUUCUUUGUUGCAUGAUUGCAUGCAAGACUCUUAAUCGCCUCGAUUUAAUUUGUCCAUGUGGCAUGUUUUUAGGCUAUCUUGAGGAUUGGUUGGAACUUAACAUUUUGUGGUCCGGAGGUGAAAGAUUGCAUGGCUUAGCAUUACGAGCAUGUAUUCUUGAUAUGUCAGAGACCCUUUGACAAAAUACCACCAAACUUGAUACUAGAGUGUCCCUGGGGAUCAUGGGGAUGGGGUUAUCUGGAGAAAAAAAAUCACAUAACACAUGAUAUACAUGUACCAGAAAUAAAUUGUUAUUGUUGCUAGAUUAGCCACCAUGCUUGGCACUUGUAUAUUGUAUUACAAUAAGAGGUUGGCAAGUUUACAAAUGGAAGAAAUGUAGGAAUAUAAAAGACAAAUUGUGACAUCAGUGUAUAAAAGCUCUAUGUGAUUUAUACAAUUCAUAAUUUGUGAUAAAAUCAGUGCUUGCUCAUGUGGAAAUGGUGGAUAUUUCAAUUUGUAUCUAUUUGGCAACCUAUAUUCCUUGAAGAAGUUACGGUAGUAAUUAUAAAAUUUACAGCCAAGAGGUCAAACCAUGAGUCAACAAUGUGUUUGGUUUUAGUGACUGUGCAUGUAACUGAGGUGACAGUCGAUCAUGAAAAAGACUAUACUUCGGAACCUGUUGAAAAUCAACAUGGACAGAAGAAAGAUUUGUAGAAUAUCUUAUUGUAAAUAGUCUUCAUUUUUUGUUUAAUGCAAUCAAUGUGACUAAAAUAAUGCAAGCGAAAAAGAGAAAUGAUCACAAGACAGCAAAACAGUUGGUUUCAUGCAUCAUUUGAAUCAAUGAACGUGAAUCAGCUCAACGCCAAAGUAUUGCGGUUCAAGGUUAUACCAUCAAGAGAUAUGCUGCCUGUAACUACUUUGUAGUUUGAAAGGGUGUAUAAAGGAAUAAGGAUACAGUUGGGCAGGCGAGUCUUUCUGUUGGUCUAUUGUAAAAAACUGGGUCAAAUUUUUUCCAAUUUUUUUGCAAAUUGUAAUAAAACUUGGUAUACCGAUUGACCCGAGGGUGUGCAAGACACAUUUGUUGUGUCUGUCUGUUAAGGUACCUCCAUGGUAACCAAGCUUUGCACAAAGAAUACAAUUUUGUUUUAAUAAUCUUGUGGAGCAUAUUCUUUCCAAGUUUUAGCAAUUUUAUAGUUUUGGUAUCUUUGAUGAGGCAUUAUAAUAACAGUAUAAAACUCAAUGCAUGUGCAGUGUGUAAAAUAAGUAUGUGAGCAAACUAUUGGAAGUAGUUUGAUCGAUUCAUAUGAAACUCAGUACACACAACGCAGAAUUGUCUUUUGUGUGCGUAUAGGACAUGACCAGUUUUGAAAUGUCUGUGCUAUUUUUUUGAAAAACCUUAUGUUGGAUGUUAAUCACUUGAGGUGAUAUUCAUAGUCGAGCAUUAGGGAAGAUGAAAGACAUAUAUGUACCUAACUAUACUUAAUUUUGUGCUGAAACUGAUAUGAUUCAGGAUUUGAGAUCGAUAUGGAGUAUGUAUACAUGUAUACUCGUACACA
Strongylocentrotus purpuratus (purple sea urchin) is the source of this 2699-nucleotide RNA transcript. RefSeq lists it as uncharacterized. The transcript is spliced from 4 exons. NCBI's taxonomy places the organism in Eukaryota, Metazoa, Echinodermata, Echinoidea, Camarodonta, Strongylocentrotidae. The record is from RefSeq and is a predicted model, not a curated record.